GAUGAACGCUAGCUACAGGCUUAACACAUGCAAGUCGAGGGACCGGCGCACGGGUGAGUAACACGUAUCCAACCUGCCCUUUACUCGGGGAUAGCCUUUCGAAGGAAAGAUUAAUACCCGAUAGAAAGGAUGGGGAUGCGUUCCAUUAGGUUGUGGGUGAGGUACCGGCUAACCAAGCCUUCUAUGGCUAGGGGUUCUGAGAGGAAGGACCCCCACGAUGGAACUGAGACACGGUCCAAACUCGUACGAAACGCAGCAGGGAAGAAUAUUAGGCAAUGGACGCUAGCCUAGACCUGCCAAGUAGAGUGAAAGAUGAAGGCGUAUGGGUCGUAUACUACUUGUAAGUAAGAAUAGGUAAUAUAUGAAUAAGGAUCGGCUAACUCCGUGCCAGCAGCCGCGGUAAUAC
Molecule: ribosomal RNA, 406 nt
Filed under: uncultured bacterium
Lineage: Bacteria
Description: partial 16S ribosomal RNA
Rfam family: Bacterial small subunit ribosomal RNA
Source: RNAcentral